CGUGUAGGCGGGUCGGCGCGUCCGAUGCUGAAAUCCCCCGGCUCAACCGGGGAAGCGGCGCGGAUACGGCCGGCCUGGAGGGACGUAGGGGGACCUGGAACUUCCGGUGGAGCGGUGAAAUGCGUUGAGAUCGGAAGGAACGCCCGUGGCGAAAGCGAGGUCCUGGACGUUUUCUGACGCUGAGACGCGAAAGCCAGGGGAGCGAACG
Molecule: ribosomal RNA, 208 nt
Filed under: uncultured bacterium
Lineage: Bacteria
Description: partial 16S ribosomal RNA
Rfam family: Bacterial small subunit ribosomal RNA
Source: RNAcentral